Molecule: ribosomal RNA, 524 nt
Filed under: uncultured bacterium
Lineage: Bacteria
Description: bacterial SSU rRNA
Rfam family: Bacterial small subunit ribosomal RNA
Source: RNAcentral
UGGCUCAGGACGAACGCUGGCGGCGUGCCUAAUACGAUGCAAGUCGAACGGCUUUCAUGGAAGCUUGCUUCCACUGAGAAGAUAGUGGCGAACGGGUGAGUAACACGUGGGUAACCUGCCCAUAAGAGGGGGAUAACAUCCGGAAACGGGUGCUAAUACCGCAUAGUUUCUUGAUCGCAUGAUUGAGAAAGGAAAGACGGCCUUUGGUGCUGUCGCUUAUGGAUGGACCCGCGGCGUAUUAGUUAGUUGGUGAGGUAACGGCUCACCAAGACGAUGAUACGUAGCCGACCUGAGAGGUGAUCGGCCACAUUGGGACUGAGACACGGCCCAAACUCCUACGGGAGGCAGCAGUAGGGAAUCUUCCGCAAUGGACGGAAAGUCUGACGGAGCAACGCCGCGUGAGUGAAAGAAGGUUUUCGGAUCGUAAAACUCUGUUGUCAGAGAAGAACAAGUUGGAGAGUAACUGCUCCAGCCUUGACGGUAUCUGACCAGAAAGCCACGGCUAACUACGUGCCAGCCGCCGC